GACGCAACACAGCCCGUGAAAAGGCGGUGCGGGAGGCCGUCGGUGCGGAACGUGAGGCUACCUUACUGCCCAGUGCAGAUGAAAAACGUCUUCCCUGGUUUGGGGACAUGUUACCAGAUGGCUCUGAUAUAACCAUAUACGCCACUUCGCCUGCCUGGAUUACCUCUUUCUAAGUGAAAACGACCUGCUGAGCUGGAUGGUGGUAGCACACACUUUUAAUCCCAGCACUCAGGAGGCAGAAGCGAGAGAAUCUAUGAGUUCAAGGCCAGCCUGGUCUACAAAGUGAGUUGCAGAAAAGCCAGGGCUACGCAGAGAAAGUCUGUCUCAAAAUCAACCAACCAACGAAACAAACAAACAAAAAAUAAAUAAAACAAACAAAACAAACAGACAAAACUGUUUCACUCCCUUUCUGUUUGCUGAUUGGCUAUAGAUUCCUACUGCCCUUUGCCAACUUCUUACACUAACUAUGUUUAGAUUCGCUUCUCUGUUAGUUUUCUCCCAAGACUUCACUAGGAUGAUAAUGUUUCAACGUUAGGGUUAUCCUACAGAUGUUAAGCUGCUUUUUAAAAUGAGCAGCAGUUCUCAUCUUCCUCUAUAACAGAAAGAAAAUGGAUCAUCAAGAGUUCAGUCAGUCCUUUAUAAUUUAUAUAACACCUGUACUACUAUUUUUGUCACCUCAAAAAUUAAAAGCACUGCAUGUUUAAAAUUUUUCCCUUCCAAGAAUUCCUUCUACUUUCACGUCA
Long non-coding RNA from Meriones unguiculatus (Mongolian gerbil), 743 nucleotides. RefSeq lists it as uncharacterized. The record is from RefSeq and is a predicted model, not a curated record. Lineage: Eukaryota; Metazoa; Chordata; Mammalia; Rodentia; Muridae. The transcript has 3 exons.